Corticium candelabrum is the source of this 1211-nucleotide long non-coding RNA. RefSeq lists it as uncharacterized. NCBI's taxonomy places the organism in Eukaryota, Metazoa, Porifera, Homoscleromorpha, Homosclerophorida, Plakinidae. The transcript is spliced from 5 exons. The record is from RefSeq and is a predicted model, not a curated record.
ACACGUUUGUGUUGCUAAUUUUUUCAUUCACAGUCUGUGCCAUCUCAAUCAGCUUCCACGUUUGAACGUUGGAGGCGAACCUCUCACGGCAAACUGAUCGCCAGUCGGCAUGUCCUUCAACCAUGGAAAUCUUUACAAGUUGUCAACAUCAGCCACAAUUGCAUCAAAUCUCUUGAUCAGUCACUACAUCUCAUGCCUCAUGUGAAACAGAUGAGUGUGAGUCACAAUGAGUUGGAACAGUUAGAUUUCCAGCAGUUGAGUCAAAUGUUGUUGGUCAAAGUAGACGUCUCAUUCAAUACUCUCAAACUGCUGCUGUCCAGUAAACAGGUGCCAUUGCUAUACAUUAAUAUUGUUGAUUGGUUGUUGAUGGACGUGUGUGUUGUGUACAUGGAACAUAAAUUUAAUAAAAGAACUUGAUCUCAGCAACAACAGAAUUAACAAGCUAAAGGGUUGUGAGAAUCUUGUUAAUCUCGUUCAUCUCAAUGUGAAGAAUAAUCUUCUCACUCAUGCGAAUGAACUGAAUUGUUUGUCAAAUCUCGCUCAUUUGUCAGACUUGGUGGUGACAGGAAAUCCGUUUGCGAGGGGAAUGUUGCAUAGGUCAAGUGUGUUUGCUAGAUUGCAUCUUGUUGCUAGACAGUUAACUUUAGACGGCUACAAGAUGUCACGAAGAGACGAGUCGAAAAUCCGUCGUCACACGUCUGUCUAUUCUCCACAUCAUCUCAUCUCAAACACAUCAUCAUCAUCCAGACCUCAUCACUCUCACUCUUUAUCCGUCCCUACUUAUUCCUAGAGUUUGGCCUCUGGUCAUCGAGGACACGCCCACACACCAGAGGAAUUUAAUGAGUUGAGGACACAGUCAUCGACUGCAUCUCCACACACUGUGGCAGUCCCUCAUUGCCAUGUUGAUAUCAAUGAUUUGAAUCAGAGCGGACACGAUUCACUGAGUCAAUUGUCGUCUCUUUUGGGUGAAAAUCUGAGUGAGGGAGAGGGUUAUGAGAUGAGAAAGAGUGGAGCAAUUUAGCACAUGUUGACUAGAUGAGUGACGAUGCAUGCGGGUCUUGCAGUCAAUCGGGUCAGCACAUGCACACACAAUAGAUCGUCACGAUGCAUAGAGGUAGAAAUGAUUACUCGGUUUUAAUCGACAGAUUUAUGUGAUUGUUUUAGCAUUCAGCAAUAAAUAUUUUUCUAAAUAAAAAUUGGUUUGGAGUGAC